Molecule: ribosomal RNA, 468 nt
Filed under: uncultured bacterium
Lineage: Bacteria
Description: partial 16S ribosomal RNA
Rfam family: Bacterial small subunit ribosomal RNA
Source: RNAcentral
GACGAACGCUGGCGGCGUGCUUAACACAUGCAAGUCGAACGGAAAGGCGCUGCUAUUGCGGGGUGCUCGAGGGGCGAAGGGGUGAGUAACACGGGAGUAACCUGCCCUGGGGUGUGGGAUAAAUUGAGGGAACUGGGGAUAAUACCGGAGAGGAGCGGCUGAAGGAGGGGGGGGGGUGGGAAGUUUGGGCGGGUGGGGAUGGAGUUGUGGCUUAUGAGCUUGGUUGGGGGGGAGGGGUAUACAAGGGGCUUGACGGGUAGGCGGCGUGAGGGGGUGGACGGCCACAAUGGGACUAAGAUACGGCCCAGACUCCUACGGUAGGCAGCAGUGGGGAAUCUUGCCCAAUGGGCGGACGCCUGAUGCAGCGGCCCCGCGUUCGUGAUGCCCGCCUUCGGGUUGUAAACCGCUUUCGCCUGUGACGAAGCGUGAGUGACGGUAAUGGGUAAAGAAGCACCGGCUAACUACGUG